This is a small nuclear RNA of Artibeus jamaicensis (Jamaican fruit-eating bat), 103 nucleotides long. The record is from RefSeq and is a predicted model, not a curated record. NCBI's taxonomy places the organism in Eukaryota, Metazoa, Chordata, Mammalia, Chiroptera, Phyllostomidae.
ACUUACUACAGCAGCACAGACUAAAACUGGAACAAUACAGAGAAAGUUAGCAUGGCAUUUAGACAGGAAUGACAUACAAAUUUGAGAAGCGUUAGAUAUUUUU